Molecule: ribosomal RNA, 442 nt
Filed under: uncultured Anaerolineaceae bacterium
Lineage: Bacteria; Bacillati; Chloroflexota; Anaerolineae; Anaerolineales; Anaerolineaceae
Description: bacterial SSU rRNA
Rfam family: Bacterial small subunit ribosomal RNA
Source: RNAcentral
CACAAGCAGCGGAGCGUGUGGUUUAAUUCGAUGCUACACGAAGAACCUUACCAGGUUUGACAUACAAGUAGUAGGGAAGGAACUGGACCGACCCUUCGGGGAGCUUGUACAGGUGCUGCAUGGCUGUCGUCAGCUCGUGUCGUGAGAUGUUCGGUUAAGUCCGCUAACGAGCGCAACCCUCGUCGUAUGUUAUAUGUGUCAUACGAGACUGCCGGUAAAAAGCCGGAGGAAGGUGAGGAUGAUGUCAAGUCAGCAUGACCUUUAUAUCCAGGGCUACACACACGCUACAAUGGUCUGUACAAUGGGUAGCCAAGCCGCGAGGCGGAGCCAAUCCUGAAAGCAGGCCUCAGUUCAGAUUGUAGGCUGCAACUCGCCUGCAUGAAGUUGGAGUUGCUAGUAACCGCGCGUCAGCUAUAGUGCGGUGAAUACGUUCCCGGGGCUU